This 253-nucleotide ribosomal RNA is filed under the name uncultured bacterium. RNAcentral describes it as "partial 16S ribosomal RNA". It matches the Rfam family "Bacterial small subunit ribosomal RNA", at positions 524 to 776 of the family's 1533-position model. The record is from RNAcentral.
UACGGAGGGUGCGAGCGUUGUUCGGAAUCACUGGGCGUAAAGCGCGUUUAGGCGGCCUCCUCAGUCUGGUGUGAAAGCCCGGGGCUCACCCCCGGAAGUGCAUUGGAUACUGGGAGGCUGGAGUACCGGAGAGGAGGGUGGAAUUCCUGGUGUAGCGGUGAAAUGCGUAGAUAUCAGGAGGAACACCGGUGGCGAAGGUGGCCCUCUGGACGGAUACUGACGCUGAGACGCGAAAGCGUGGGGAGCAAACAGG